This 392-nucleotide ribosomal RNA is filed under the name uncultured bacterium. Its description in RNAcentral is "partial 16S ribosomal RNA". It matches the Rfam family "Bacterial small subunit ribosomal RNA", at positions 523 to 918 of the family's 1533-position model. The record is from RNAcentral.
AUACGUAGGUGGCAAGCGUUAUCCGGAAUUAUUGGGCGUAAAGAGGGGGCAGGCGGCAGCAAGGGUCUGUGGUGAAAGCCUGAAGCUUAACUUCAGUAAGCCAUAGAAACCAGGUAGCUAGAGUGCAGGAGAGGAUCGUGGAAUUCCAUGUGUAGCGGUGAAAUGCGUAGAUAUAUGGAGGAACACCAGUGGCGAAGGCGACGAUCUGGCCUGCAACUGACUCUCAGGCCCGAAAGCGUGGGGAGCAAAUAGGAUUAGAUACCCUAGUAGGCCACGCCGUAAACGAUGAGUACUAAGUGUUGGAUGUCAAAGUUCAGUGCUGCAGUUAACGCAAUAAGUACUCCGCCUGAGUAGUACGUUCGCAAGAAUUAAACUCAAAUGAAUUGACGGGG